UGGGGAAUUUUGGACAAUGGGCGAAAGCCUGAUCCAGCAAUGCCGCGUGUGUGAAGAAGGCCUUCGGGUUGUAAAGCACUUUUGUCCGGAAAGAAGUCCUUGGCUCUAAUACAGUCGGGGGAUGACGGUACCGGAAGAAUAAGCACCGGCUAACUACGUGCCAGCAGCCGCGGUAAUACGUAGGGUGCAAGCGUUAAUCGGAAUUACUGGGCGUAAAGCGUGCGCAGGCGGUUUGCUAAGACCGAUGUGAAAUCCCCGGGCUCAACCUGGGAACUGCAUUGGUGACUGGCAGGCUAGAGUAUGGCAGAGGGGGGUAGAAUUCCACGUGUAGCAGUGAAAUGCGUAGAGAUGUGGAGGAAUACCGAUGGCGAAGGCAGCCCCCUGGGCCAAUACUGACGCUCAUGCACGAAAAGCGUGGGGAGCAAACAGGAUUAGAUACCCUGGUAGUCCACGCCCUAAACGAUGUCAACUAGUUGUUGGGGAUUCAUUUCCUUAGUAACGUAGCUAACGCGUGAAGUUGACCGCCUGGGGAGUACGGUCGCAAGAUUAAAACUUAAAUGAAUUGACGGGGUCAUAGCUGUUUCCU
RNAcentral lists this ribosomal RNA (586 nucleotides) under uncultured bacterium. RNAcentral's name for it is "partial 16S ribosomal RNA". It matches the Rfam family "Bacterial small subunit ribosomal RNA", at positions 355 to 1375 of the family's 1533-position model. The record is from RNAcentral.